Molecule: ribosomal RNA, 252 nt
Filed under: uncultured bacterium
Lineage: Bacteria
Description: partial 16S ribosomal RNA
Rfam family: Bacterial small subunit ribosomal RNA
Source: RNAcentral
GACAGAGGGUGCGAACGUUGUUCGGAAUUACUGGGCGUAAAGCGCGUGUAGGCUGUUCGGAAAGCCGGGUGUGAAAGCCCUGGGCUCAACCUAGGAAGUGCACUCGAAACUCCCGAACUGGAGUCCCGGAGAGGAAGGCGGAAUUCUCGGUGUAGAGGUGAAAUUCGUAGAUAUCGAGAGGAACAUCGGUGGCGAAGGCGGCCUUCUGGACGGUGACUGACGCUGAGACGCGAAAGCGUGGGAGCGAACAGG